This 751-nucleotide ribosomal RNA is filed under the name uncultured bacterium. RNAcentral describes it as "bacterial SSU rRNA". It matches the Rfam family "Bacterial small subunit ribosomal RNA", at positions 8 to 796 of the family's 1533-position model. The record is from RNAcentral.
AGAGUUUGAUCCUGGCUCAGAACGAACGCUGGCGGCAGGCCUAACACAUGCAAGUCGAACGAGCUGGGACCUUCGGGUCCCGAUGCUAGUGGCGCACGGGUGAGUAACACGUGGGAAUCUACCCAAUAGUACGGAAUAACUGAGGGAAACUUUGGCUAAUACCGUAUACGCCCUUCGGGGGAAAGAUUUAUCGCUAUUGGAUGAGCCCGCGUCUGAUUAGGUAGUUGGUGAGGUAACGGCUCACCAAGCCGACGAUCAGUAGCUGGUCUGAGAGGAUGAUCAGCCACACUGGGACUGAGACACGGCCCAGACUCCUACGGGAGGCAGCAGUGGGGAAUAUUGGACAAUGGGCGCAAGCCUGAUCCAGCCAUGCCGCGUGAGUGAAGAAGGCCUUCGGGUUGUAAAGCUCUUUCGGCGGGGACGAUGAUGACGGUACCCGCAUAAGAAGCCCCGGCUAACUUCGUGCCAGCAGCCGCGGUAAUACGAAGGGGGCUAGCGUUGUUCGGAAUUACUGGGCGUAAAGCGAACGUAGGCGGUGUUCCAUGUCAGAGGUGAAAGCCUGGGGCUCAACUCCAGAAUUGCCUUUGAAACGGGAACGCUUGAGUCCGAGAGAGGAUGGCGGAAUUCCUAGUGUAGAGGUGAAAUUCGUAGAUAUUAGGAAGAACACCGGGCGAAGGCGGCCAUCUGGCUCGGUACUGACGCUCAGGUUCGAAAGCGUGGGAGCAAACAGGAUUAGAUACCCUAGUAGUCC